Molecule: unclassified non-coding RNA, 235 nt
Filed under: uncultured fungus
Lineage: Eukaryota; Fungi
Description: sequence contains ITS1, 5.8S rRNA gene
Rfam family: 5.8S ribosomal RNA (bases 187-235)
Source: RNAcentral
UCUCCGUAGGUGAACCUGCGGAGGGAUCAUUACCGAGUGAGGGGGCCUCGUGCCCUCGACCUCCCAACCCUUUGUUUAACCAACUCUGUUGCCUCGGGGGCGACCCGGCCUUCGGGCGUCGGGCCCCCCGGCGGACCACUCAACUCUGCAUCUUUGCGUCUGAGUCUUAUAUAUGAAUUAAAUCAAAACUUUCAACAACGGAUCUCUUGGUUCUGGCAUCGAUGAAGAACGCAGC